AGCCCAGUGGUCCAAUGGUAAAGCGCUUGUCGCGGAGCCAGGUGGUCCUGAGUCCGAUUCCCAACGGGGUCG
Molecule: transfer RNA, 72 nt
Filed under: Schistosoma japonicum
Lineage: Eukaryota; Metazoa; Platyhelminthes; Trematoda; Strigeidida; Schistosomatidae
Description: tRNA-Pro
Source: RNAcentral